GAGUUUGAUCAUGGCUCAGAUUGAACGCUGGCGGCAUGCCUUACACAUGCAAGUCGAACGGCAGCACGGGAGCUUGCUCCUGGUGGCGAGUGGCGAACGGGUGAGUAACGCAUCGGAACGUAUCCUGGAGUGGGGGAUAACGUAGCGAAAGUUACGCUAAUACCGCAUAUUCUGUGAGCAGGAAAGCGGGGGACCUUCGGGCCUCGCGCUCUUGGAGCGGCCGAUGUCGGAUUAGCUAGUUGGUGAGGUAAAGGCUCACCAAGGCGACGAUCCGUAGCAGGUCUGAGAGGAUGAUCUGCCACACUGGAACUGAGACACGGUCCAGACUCCUACGGGAGGCAGCAGUGGGGAAUUUUGGACAAUGGGGGCAACCCUGAUCCAGCCAUGCCGCGUGAGUGAAGAAGGCCUUC
Molecule: ribosomal RNA, 410 nt
Filed under: bacterium enrichment culture clone ALO1_GLFRUDD03F8DA6
Lineage: Bacteria
Description: bacterial SSU rRNA
Rfam family: Bacterial small subunit ribosomal RNA
Source: RNAcentral